This 1325-nucleotide ribosomal RNA is filed under the name metagenome. RNAcentral's name for it is "bacterial LSU rRNA". It matches the Rfam family "Bacterial large subunit ribosomal RNA", at positions 1561 to 2925 of the family's 2925-position model. The record is from RNAcentral.
AGUGGAUGGGGAGCAACCUAGUUGUGCGUGUGUAAAGGUAGUGCCAAGAAAAGCGAUGAUCAUGUUGAAAAUCAAUUCCCGGUACCCGAAACCGACACAGGUGGGCAAGUAGAGAAUACUAAGGGGCGCGAGGUAACUCUCUCCAAGGAACUCGGCAAAAUGACCCCGUAACUUAGGGAGAAGGGGUGCCACCGAGAGGUGGUCGCAGUGAAGAGGCCCAGGCGACUGUUUAGCAAAAACAUAGGUCUCUGCAAACUCGAAAGAGGAGGUAUAGGGGCUGACGCCUGCCCAGUGCCGGAAGGUUAAAGAAGUUGGUCAGUCUUAGGAUGAAGCUAGCGACUGAAGCCCCGGUGAACGGCGGCCGUAACUAUAACGGUCCUAAGGUAGCGAAAUUCCUUGUCGGGUAAGUUCCGACCCGCACGAAAGGCGUAACGAUCUGGGCGCUGUCUCGGAGAGAGGCUCGGCGAAAUAGGAUUGUCUGUGAAGAUACGGACUACCUGCAUUUGGACAGAAAGACCCUAUGAAGCUUUACUAUAGCUUGGAAUUGUGUUCGGGCUUCCUGUGCGCAGGAUAGGUGGGAGGCGUAGAAGGUAUUCUUGUGGGGAUACUGGAGCCAACGGUGAGAUACCACUCUCAGGAGGCUAGAAUUCUAACUUAAUUAAGGACAGUUUCAGGUGGGUAGUUUGACUGGGGCGGUCGCCUCCAAAAAGGUAACGGAGGCGUACAAAGGUUCCCUCAGACUGGUUGGAAAUCAGUCGAAGAGUGCAAAGGCAGAAGGGAGCUUGACUGCGAGAAGUACAGUUCGAGCAGGGUGGAAACACGGUCUUAGUGAUCCGACGGUGCUGUGUGGAAGGGCCGUCGCUCAACGGAUAAAAGUUACUCUAGGAUAACAGGCUGAUCUCCCCCAAGAGUUCACAUCGACGGGGAGGUUUGGCACCUCGAUGUCGGCUCAUCGCAACCUGGGGCGGAAGUACGUCCCAAGGGUUGGGCUGUUCGCCCAUUAGAGCGGUACGUGAGCUGGGUUCAGAACGCCGUGAGACAGUUCGGUCCAUAUCCGAUGUAGGCGUGAGAAUAUUGAGAGGAGCCUUCCUUAGUACGAGAGGACCGGGAAGGACGCACCGCUGGUGUACCUGUUAUGAUGCCAAUUGUAAACGCAGGGUAGCCAAGUGCGGAGAGGAUAACCGCUGAAAGCAUCUAAGUGGGAAGCCCACCUCAAGAUGAGUAUUCUGGUGUAAGGUCACGGGAAGACGACCCGUAAAUAGGCACGAGGUGGAAGUGCAGAGAUGUAUGAAGCCGAAGUGUACUAAUAGACCGUCGGCUUGACC